RNAcentral lists this ribosomal RNA (253 nucleotides) under uncultured bacterium. RNAcentral's name for it is "partial 16S ribosomal RNA". It matches the Rfam family "Bacterial small subunit ribosomal RNA", at positions 524 to 776 of the family's 1533-position model. The record is from RNAcentral.
UACAGAGGUCCCAAGCGUUGUUCGGAUUCAUUGGGCGUAAAGGGUGCGUAGGCGGCGCGGUAAGUCGGGUGUGAAAUCUCGGAGCUUAACUCCGAAACUGCAUUCGAUACUGCCGUGCUUGAGGACUGGAGAGGAGACUGGAAUUUACGGUGUAGCGGUGAAAUGCGUAGAUAUCUGGAGGAACACCGGUGGCGAAGGCGGCAUCCUGGACCGACACUGACGCUGAGGCGCGAAAGCUAGGGUAGCAAACGGG